UACGUAUGGUGCAAGCGUUAUCCGGAUUUACUGGGUGUAAAGGGAGCGCAGGCGGCGCGUUAAGUCUGAUGUGAAAACCCAGGGCUCAACCGGUACAGGCUCUGGAAACUGGCGGGCUAGAGAGCAGGAGAGGGCGGUGGAACUCCAUGUGUAGCGGUAAAAUGCGUAGAUAUAUGGAAGAACACCAGUGGCGAAGGCGGCCGCCUGGCCUGUUACUGACGCUGAGGCACGAAAGCGUGGGGAGCAAAUAGG
Molecule: ribosomal RNA, 252 nt
Filed under: uncultured Allobaculum sp.
Lineage: Bacteria; Bacillati; Bacillota; Erysipelotrichia; Erysipelotrichales; Erysipelotrichaceae
Description: partial 16S ribosomal RNA
Rfam family: Bacterial small subunit ribosomal RNA
Source: RNAcentral